Aegilops tauschii subsp. strangulata is the source of this 753-nucleotide non-coding RNA. The record is from RefSeq and is a predicted model, not a curated record. Lineage: Eukaryota; Viridiplantae; Streptophyta; Magnoliopsida; Poales; Poaceae.
UCCGGCCGUCGCCGUCGUUUGACGAAAAGAGAAAAAAUAUGGAUGCCCUAUAUCAGAAUGAUCAUCAGUUUCUCGCGAUUGAUGGGGCCUCAAAACUGAAGAUGAUCCUUCCAGCGCACUCUGUUUUCAGAUGUAUAAUAUCCACAGAAGGGGGUAUCGGAGGGGUGCUGGUGCAUUAUUGGUUGUUCUCCCCUAUCCACGCACGUACAUGGAAAUGGAAUAAAGGCGGCGUCGGGGAUUCAUCUAGUAAGUCCCCGUCCCCUGAUUCUUGACGCGGAUACGACGACGUUGAGCCGCUGCCACUCGCCGGAUGGUCGGCGGAGGGGGCGUGCUGACGGCGACGCCCAGACUUUGACAGCUUUGUCUCCUCCCCUCUUCCUUUUUUUUAUGAUGAUCAGUAGAGUAGAGUUUAUUUUUUGAAACAAAUCAGUAUUUUUUUUCGAGAAUUUGAAACAAAUCAGUAGAGUAGAUAAAUAUCUCCAUUUUCUCCUGCGUGCCGAGCAACCAAUAAACAGUCCAGGAUCGGGUGGGCUGUUGGAGGCCCCCUGUGUGUGGGCCGUGGCAAUGCUAGUAGUGAGUGUCUGGGCUUAGCCCAGCGUAAGUCGCACCGUGGGCCUUGCUGAAAAUAUUACGCGGGCCAUCUUGUAAAUUUCGCACUACGUCCCUAGAAAAUGUGGUCCUGUAAUGUUGGGACUUGAUAGUUCUGUCUGUAUCCUACAAUAAAGAUUAUGCGAAGAUUUUUGUUUGUGAAAA